UGCCUAAACCACAAACUCAUAAAAAAAUAAUUAUUAUUUUGUUGAUUUAACGUAUAUCGUAUCGUUUUUCACUUUGUAUAUAUAGCAACGUGAGGUAAUAUGACAAUAAAGUGUUGCAUUAACAGAACUAUCUACCCAACCAUUUAUCAACAUUAUAAUUAUAAUAAAGUUUUUGUUUGAUGCAAAACUAAACCACCAUAGCCACACAAUUGCAUCCAACACAUUGUUCUAUAGUAAUAUGCUCGAUCAAAACUAUUGGGAAAGGUUGAAGUUUCACUAUUGAUCGAUGUUUCAAAUUAUGGAUUGUUCAAACAAAUUUAGAGUUUUAAAAAAU
RNAcentral lists this long non-coding RNA (334 nucleotides) under Panax ginseng (ginseng). RNAcentral describes it as "long non-coding RNA (PGIN_LNC018068)". The record is from RNAcentral. Lineage: Eukaryota; Viridiplantae; Streptophyta; Magnoliopsida; Apiales; Araliaceae.